Small nucleolar RNA from Tupaia belangeri (northern tree shrew), 130 nucleotides. NCBI's taxonomy places the organism in Eukaryota, Metazoa, Chordata, Mammalia, Scandentia, Tupaiidae. The record is from Ensembl.
CCCCCCUACAAAGGCGUAUCUGUGGUUCCUGUCUUCGGACGUGUAAGAAUUAGGGGCAAAGAAAUGUGGAUUUGGAGGACUCUGAAGCCUGCUUGCUCCCUGAAGAUUCAAGGUCCACCAUCCUAUAUUG